UGCAAGUCGAGCGGGGAAGAGUAGCUUGCUACUUAACCUAGCGGCGGACGGGUGAGUAAUGCUUAGGAAUCUGCCUAUUAGUGGGGGACAACAUCUCGAAAGGGAUGCUAAUACCGCAUACGUCCUACGGGAGAAAGCAGGGGACCUUCGGGCCUUGCGCUAAUAGAUGAGCCUAAGUCGGAUUAGCUAGUUGGUGGGGUAAAGGCCUACCAAGGCGACGAUCUGUAGCGGGUCUGAGAGGAUGAUCCGCCACACUGGGACUGAGACACGGCCCAGACUCCUACGGGAGGCAGCAGUGGGGAAUAUUGGACAAUGGGGGGAACCCUGAUCCAGCCAUGCCGCGUGUGUGAAGAAGGCCUUUUGGUUGUAAAGCACUUUAAGCGAGGAGGAGGCUACCGAGAUUAAUACUCUUGGAUAGUGGACGUUACUCGCAGAAUAAGCACCGGCUAACUCUGUGCCAGCAGCCGCGGUAAUACAGAGGGUGCAAGCGUUAAUCGGAUUUACUGGGCGUAAAGCGCGCGUAGGUGGCCAAUUAAGUCAAAUGUGAAAUCCCCGAGCUUAACUUGGGAAUUGCAUUCGAUACUGGUUGGCUAGAGUAUGGGAGAGGAUGGUAGAAUUCCAGGUGUAGCGGUGAAAUGCGUAGAGAUCUGGAGGAAUACCGAUGGCGAAGGCAGCCAUCUGGCCUAAUACUGACACUGAGGUGCGAAAGCAUGGGGAGCAAACAGGAUUAGAUACCCUGGUAGUCCAUGCCGUAAACGAUGUCUACUAGCCGUUGGGGCCUUUGAGGCUUUAGUGGCGCAGCUAACGCGAUAAGUAGACCGCCUGGGGAGUACGGUCGCAAGACUAAAACUCAAAUGAAUUGACGGGGGCCCGCACAAGCGGUGGAGCAUGUG
Molecule: ribosomal RNA, 893 nt
Filed under: uncultured bacterium
Lineage: Bacteria
Description: bacterial SSU rRNA
Rfam family: Bacterial small subunit ribosomal RNA
Source: RNAcentral